This 183-nucleotide non-coding RNA is filed under the name Ophiophagus hannah (king cobra). RNAcentral's name for it is "Eukaryotic small subunit ribosomal RNA". It matches the Rfam family "Eukaryotic small subunit ribosomal RNA", at positions 1210 to 1647 of the family's 1831-position model. The record is from Rfam by way of RNAcentral. Lineage: Eukaryota; Metazoa; Chordata; Lepidosauria; Squamata; Elapidae.
CAUAUAUAGAACAUAUGUAACAUCUGCACGUGCGCUACACUGACUGGCUCAGCAUGUCUACCCUAUGCUGACAGGUGCGGGUAACCCAUUGAACCCCAUUUGUGAUGGGAAUCGGAGAUUGCAAUUAUUCCCCAUGAACGAGGAAUUCCCAGUAAGUGCGGGUCAUAAGCUCGUGUUGAUUAA